AUCUCGUCUCUCCUUCUCCCUCACCCAGCGCCUCCUCCAUAUCCCGGCUCGUCCCCAAGCAACUGCCCUCGAGGAGUUCCCCGUCCCCGUCGCCGGCCAUGCUGCUACGCUGUCUCCCUCUCCUUCCUUCUUUUCCCUGUGGUUCUCCUUCCCCUAACAUCUGUCUCUCUCUUGUUUGCUGCUGAACGCAGGACGCUGCCGCUCCUACCAAAUCCAGCCGCCGCCGGAUCUGCCUCCACCGGACCAGAUCCGUCCGGAUCCGGCUGCCCUCGACCGUCCUCGACCUCAUAUUCUCCUCCAGUCGCCUGAUUGAUGCGCCGCCGACGGAUCUGCCUCCACUGGACCGGAUCCGUCCGGAUCCGGACACCCUCGACCGCCCUCGGCCUCGUCUGCGACUCCUCCGUCCGGAUUCUGCUGUCCUCGACCGUCCCCGGCCUAGUUUGCUCCUCCCGUCGUGUGAUUUGAUGCCCCACCUAUUCGAUUUCUUCGAUUUCGUGGUGUUGCAAUCUGCUUUUCUUUGAUCGAUUAUUUGAUAGACCGAAUCCUUCCCUUGUGAUUAUCCUCAUCUCUGUGUCCUGAUUUCUGUGGUCGCUUGUUGAAUCAUCAACGUCUACCUAUAUGAACCAGUCAGAUUAGGUGUAAAGAAACGAUGUGGUAUUAUUACUUAGCCAAGUCAUAUAAUUUUUUCGGCAUGAUCCUAGGAAGGCAAGGAGAAAGCCUAUCAGCAUAUGAAGCCCAGUACGGGCGGCGUGGAGGACGCGUCACGAAUCUGAAAUAUGGAACACUUUUUUUUGCACUUAUAUGUUGGACUGCGGGUUAAUUAGUUAAAACCAUAAGGGGCUUUUUGCAAAUAGUGCACG
Molecule: ribosomal RNA, 860 nt
Filed under: Triticum aestivum (bread wheat)
Lineage: Eukaryota; Viridiplantae; Streptophyta; Magnoliopsida; Poales; Poaceae
Description: partial small subunit ribosomal RNA
Source: RNAcentral